GCGGGCGGCGGCGCUGCUCGGCGGGACGCCGCCCGGGGGAAAAACGCGGCCGGGCGGGUGGCACCGCGCUCCGUCCCCAGCGACAGAACGGGGCCGACUCCCAGGCGGCGCUCCGCAGCCCGGCUCGGAACCAGCCCGCUCCCAACACCUCCCCGCAGCUCCCGGUGCGGCGAGACUUCGCUCCGCGGGAUCGAUAAGCGGUGACACGUGGCACGGGUGGCUUUUCACCGCGCCCCGACCGACGGCCCGGGGCGGCACCGGCACCGCGGCUGCGGGAGAGGUGGAGUCCUCAGGGCAGGAGAGACGGGGAGCUGCUGGAGCGCGGCCAGAGGAGGGACACAGAAAUGGCGGCAGGGAUGGAAGCCCUCCCUGCGAGGACAGGCCGAGAGCUGGGGCUGAGCAGCACGGAGAAGAGAAGGCAAGAGAAGGAGAGCUGAGAGCGGCCCGUCAGCAUCUGAAGGGGCUGUGAGAAGGGAGGGGACGGACUCUGCAGUGGGUCUGUGUGAUGGGAGAAGGGGAGAUGGCUUCAGACCACAAGAGGGGAGAUUGAGGUGGAGUUGAGGAAGCAGGUUUGGCAGUGAGGGCGGUGAGGCGCUGGCACAGGUUGCCCAGAGAGGCGGUGGUGCCCCGUCCCUGCAGACAGCCAAGGUCAGGCUGGACGGGGCUGUGAGCACUGCUGAGCUGUGGGUGUCCCUGUGCGCUGCAGGGAGCGGCACCAGGCGGCCUUCAGCUCCCUUCCACCCAAACCAUGCUGUGAUUCCCCCACAAUCCAUCCCUGCACUCGAGCUAAAACGCAACGCCUCUGCUGGACAAACAUACAGAGACGUGAGCAUUGCUGCUAUUGUGCACUUUAUUUCUCUAGGUCCUCUCACUGAGGGUCUCAAGCACUUUUCAGGCAGUCUGUGCGGUGCUUCCAGUUGAUGGGUGGUGCUGCUGCUGCCAAUGGGUCGAGUGAUUUGCUUGGGGACAGACAGAAGUCCAUAAGGAGCCAGGAGCAGAACACAGCAAACUCCUGAGCUCCUGUUCAGAUGCAAAUGUUGCCUCCGCUGGAAUGACUUUAAGGUUGAUUUUGUAGUGAUGUGCAUUCCCUACACAUUUCAAAGCUAUCAAAAAUAAAUCACAGAGUCAUCAAAAGCAAGCUAAAGUCUCGUCUAGGACCAAAAAAGUCAGUUACCUUCACUUGCAGAACCUUGUUGGAACUUUGGCAUUGUUUUCAAAACAGUGAGUAAAAGGAAAAGAAGUAAAGAAAAAGAACCAAAUCAGACCAGAAAUAAGGACAGAAUAAACAAGCAGUGAGGAGCCGGAUGAGUGUGGCUUCAAACGUCCCAGGAGGGAACACUGCGGAUUGAGUUUGGAAGGUCUCUGCUCUCCCCACCCCGAGCAGCAGCACUGCUCCCAGCAGCACUUCCCACAGCAGAAACAAAACAAGCAACCAACACAGGGGGACGGAAGACGCACGUGCAGAUGCACACACACACACACUGCAACACGUUGGGGUGAAACAUUUACAUUUAUAUCGAAAUAUGCACUAAACAGAGCGAGUUCUACCAGCUGAUGCCUUUUUUUUUUUUCUUUUUUUUUUUUUCUUUUUUUUUUUUUGCCAAAGCAGGAUCACAAAUUUCUUCCUGGGAAGGUUCAAGUCAGCGAGCAGUGAUGGGGCAGCUGCUGAUCCACGUACGCAGGCUUUGCUCCUCGCAGCUCCCCAUCACGCCUGCAAUGCUCUCCCCCCUCUGCUCAGUAUGAGACUCUUGCUGUCCUUUCACAUCUUUUCUUCUCCGCUGCAAUAAAUACAAAACUCGGCGAUGCUCGCAGGUCACAGCACAGACAAGACACCAGGCUUCAGCACAGAACUGAGCAAUGCAGCUAGGUUGUUUACAGAAGGAAAAGGCCUCAAAGGGCCACUUCUCUCACAGCCAGCCAUUAACAAUGACGCAGUUCAUGCUGGCUGGGCAGAGGCGGCCCAACCCCGAUCCCAGGGGACAUCGGUCACCCAGGGCUGCAAGUGAAGCUUUCCUGCACUUCUGACAGCGAGGCACUCAUUUUCGGUGCCUGCUCAGUGAAAAGGAACAAUCCCUGCCUGCCCCCACACAAAACCCCUCCAUGUGAAGCAGGACAGUUCAUUACUAAACAGCCACAAAUAGAGCUGAAGUCUCAGACACAAAGCUGCCCUUUCUUUGUCCAUCGGUCAUAACCAGCAACGAUGAAGGUAGCAGAGGGCUGUGAACACUGAAGCAAGCACAGAACAUGGCAUCUUAGCACACCAAGCUUAAGCAGAGAGCCAGCAGGGUCACACUGCAGUCAUGAACCUGCUAAACCUCUCACACCACACAGCGCCCCACCAAGAGCAGCUGACUCAGGGCAGGACACAGCCCCAGCUGUACGGGUGCUUAGGUAAGAAGUUACAGCUUUUCUGUUGGAGAACACGUUACUGUCAGCCAGCAUCUCUUCAACCAAACGUUGUGACAGCAGGGAGCAAAGCAGGGAUGCAUAGGUUCAGCUACCACACUGCCUUAUUACAAAAGCUGCAAAGUUCACAGGGAGCAGAUUUGGGUUUUAACCCUUCUCCCAAAGGAGGGCGUGAGGAGGGGGAGGGGGGUAGUAGAACUUUUCCCCAAGAAUCCUCCACUGCAGCCUAUUUUUAACACUUUACACUUUCUUACACCAACUUCUCCAGCGAGCAUCUAACCAGAAGUGUGAACAACAUUACCUUAAAGCCCCUCUGCAAGGCAGCAGGGCUGCAGAGCACACAGGCCUGGGAGCAGCGCAUGCUCAGCCUGCUUUGGGGUGAGACAGCCAUCCCUCCUCUACUACAGCACUCUGGUAUUUAUUUCUGGGAAGUGGAAAGCUUCAUCCUUCCUUCAUCUGUGUGUAGAUCACAUAUACUGGAAACAAAACACAAACUAUGCAUGCAAUCCAGGCAGAAACCCUGCUAUGAUCAAAUCUACAGGAACAGGGGAAUGUAGUGGGGACGUAAAAGUAUUCCUUAAUGCUAGAUUAUAGACUGCAUUAAACACCAGCACCCUUUGUUAUAAAAAAGGGCAAACAGACUAUAUACAGCACCUACGUACUUUCAUUGCAGCAGGGCACAGCAAGCAACCUGGACACCUAAACACCCCUCCUUAAGAACAGAGCAGGAAGUGCCUGCUCCAAAGCCACCGUUCCUCUCCAAUUUACCUGCCGAGAUGAGCACGUGUGGCUGCAGAUUCCUCAUACACUGAAAGAAGUGCAGAGAUCUGUGCUGGCAGCUCUCCAUCAGCUUAGCACGCUGCAAACCACUGCAGUGUUUGCACAGUGCUGCAAGCUCCAGCUCUGGUAGGUAAGCCAAGGAAGAACAGACUUCAUUUAAAAUUGUUUUAUUUGCAAGUAUGUUUAUCUGUUCCCCUAGGGCUCUGCGUUUAGGGUCCAAAACGGUUUCUUUCUGAAUAAAGAGAAGCUUUCAUUGGAGAUGAAAGGCUAUUUUCCCAUUAGUAGGCUAUAACCAGCUCAUAAAAAAAAAACAAAACAAAAA
Tympanuchus pallidicinctus (lesser prairie-chicken) is the source of this 3508-nucleotide long non-coding RNA. RefSeq lists it as uncharacterized. The transcript is spliced from 2 exons. The record is from RefSeq and is a predicted model, not a curated record. NCBI's taxonomy places the organism in Eukaryota, Metazoa, Chordata, Aves, Galliformes, Phasianidae.